UUUACAUUUAAGUCAUUUAGCAGACGCUCUUAUCCAGAGCGACUUACAAAUCGGUGAAUUCACCUUCUGACAUCCAGUGGAACAGCCACUUUACAAUAGUGCAUCUAAAUCAUUAAGGGGGAGGGGGGGGGGGUGAGAAGGAUUACUUAUCCUAUCCUAGGUAUUCCUUGAAGAGGUGGGGUUUCAGGUGUCUCCGGAAGGUGGUGAUUGACUCCGCUGUCCUGGCGUCGUGAGGGAGUUUGUUCCACCAUUGGGGGGCCAGAGCAGCGAACAGUUUUGACUGGGCUGAGCGGGAAAUCAGUGCAGAUAGAACAGGCAAGCUAGUUGUUUACAUGCGUGAUGGACAGCGUGAUGGACAGUCAAGUGUUGCUUAUGGUGAAGAUGCAACCAACAUUUUGCAGGUGGGGGAGGGUUGAGGAGGAGGCUUGAAGCCAUCUUAUGACAUGCAUUAUCUGAAUUAGGCCGACAAUUAUACGUAAAGAGGAGCGGCUUCAAUGGAGGAACUUGAAAUGUACUUUGAUCGAGCUCGCUAACUGCUUGUGUGUGCAGAGCGACACCAGAAUUAAAAACGUCUUACCUUUUUGACAGCACUGAUGCAAUUGUGAAGACAGCUGGAGAGGGCCUUACCAACCAGUUCCCGCUCCUGGGCUUUCGUGAGAGCUGGUGCCCCCAACUCAUCACCUGGGCCCCAUGCUGUCGACCCCCCCAGAUCCUGCCUGGC
Long non-coding RNA from Oncorhynchus masou masou (cherry salmon), 721 nucleotides. RefSeq lists it as uncharacterized. The record is from RefSeq and is a predicted model, not a curated record. NCBI's taxonomy places the organism in Eukaryota, Metazoa, Chordata, Actinopteri, Salmoniformes, Salmonidae. The transcript has 3 exons.